This is a non-coding RNA of Oryctolagus cuniculus (rabbit), 982 nucleotides long. The record is from RefSeq and is a predicted model, not a curated record. Lineage: Eukaryota; Metazoa; Chordata; Mammalia; Lagomorpha; Leporidae.
UGUCUCUGCCGCCGGGCGCCCCCACGUGAUCACGCCUGAUCACGCCUGCGCACACGCGCCACCACGGCCAGCCCCCAGGCUCACGGGACGGCCUCUCCCCAGCCGUGGACCUCCAAGCUGCAGGCCAGUACAAACCUUCUUUCCUCCAAGGCGGCUCCGCUCAGGCAUUUUAUUGGCAGUAACAAAAGGCUGACUUCUGACACCGCCGCUGCCACAGAGAUACAGAGUAUAUUUGCACCUUGCGCACCGAGGCACGAGUGGAGGAAAGCCUAUGAAGUAACAGCGCUCUACUUGGUGAAAACUAACACAGCCUCCUGCCCACUGCUACAGUCACGUGACACCAUCAGUACUGGAUGGUACCGAGCAGCCGCAUGCAACUGUGGUCAUUCAAGUGAGCUAAAAUUAAACAACAUUUAAAGCUCAGAUAUUUGGUGGGAUAAACCACAUUUUAAGCGCCACAUAGCCACAGGUGGCUGAUUGAUGACAUCACCAUCACAGGACAUUCUGGGCAGCACUGGCAGAAGACAGCACUCACAGCUCACCUGGGAGUGGUGCUAAAAGGCCCAGCUUCUCCGCAUGCUUGGCACGCGGGGGAGAUGGGCAUCCCAGAGGAGCAGGCCUCUGGGAGGAGCCUGGGGGAAGCAGGGCAGGGGCAAAGAGACUUCUGGGGCCGAGCAGUCCUGCAGAGAACAAAACAGAAACAGAAACAGAGAGAUGCAUGAUGAGCCCAGUUCUGGCCAUGCUCCCCAAGGAGCCCUCCUGAGUUUGCAAGAAGGGGCUAAGCAGGGAGUAGCCUGCCACUCAGACCAGGCCCAACCUGGGCUCCGCAAAGCUCUGCCAAGUCUCCUUUAGAGGCAGAGUACCCUUACUGGUCUAGCCCAGGGCUCAGCCAACAAGAGACACUGAACCAGGCUUGCUGUCUGGUUAUGGCUUUUCUAUGUUUCAAUGGUCCCGUUUUAAACAAUUAUAUGUAAGAGCCUGG